RNAcentral lists this ribosomal RNA (253 nucleotides) under uncultured bacterium. Its description in RNAcentral is "partial 16S ribosomal RNA". It matches the Rfam family "Bacterial small subunit ribosomal RNA", at positions 524 to 776 of the family's 1533-position model. The record is from RNAcentral.
UACGGGGGGUGCGAGCGUUAAUCGGAAUAACUGGGCGUAAAGGGCACGCAGGCGGCCAUUUAAGUGAGAUGUGAAAUCCCCGGGCUGAACCUGGGAAUUGCAUUUCAUACUGGGAGUCUAGAGUGCUUUAGGGAGGGGUAGAAUUCCGCGUGUAGCGGUGAAAUGCGUAGAGAUGUGGAGGAAUACCGAAGGCGAAGGCAGCCCCUUGGGCAUGUACUGACGCUCAUGUGCGAAAGCGUGGGGAGCAAACAGG